RNAcentral lists this ribosomal RNA (496 nucleotides) under uncultured bacterium. Its description in RNAcentral is "partial 16S ribosomal RNA". It matches the Rfam family "Bacterial small subunit ribosomal RNA", at positions 28 to 506 of the family's 1533-position model. The record is from RNAcentral.
GAUGAACGCUGGCGGCGUGCCUAAUACAUGCAAGUCGAGCGAACAGACGAGGAGCUUGCUCCUCUGACGUUAGCGGCGGACGGGUGAGUAACACGUGGAUAACCUACCUAUAAGACUGGGAUAACUUCGGGAAACCGGAGCUAAUACCGGAUAAUAUAUUGAACCGCAUGGUUCAAUAGUGAAAGACGGUUUUGCUGUCACUUAUAGAUGGAUCCGCGCCGCAUUAGCUAGUUGGUAAGGUAACGGCUUACCAAGGCAACGAUGCGUAGCCGACCUGAGAGGGUGAUCGGCCACACUGGAACUGAGACACGGUCCAGACUCCUACGGGAGGCAGCAGUAGGGAAUCUUCCGCAAUGGGCGAAAGCCUGACGGAGCAACGCCGCGUGAGUGAUGAAGGUCUUCGGAUCGUAAACCUCUGUUAUUAGGGAAGAACAAAUGUGUAAGUAACUAUGCAAGUCUUGACGGUACCUAAUCAGAAAGCCACGGCUAACUACGU